AUGUGGAGGAGGGGCUGGGAGAGGGAAGGGAAAGGAGACCUUACAGUUUCUCCUCUCCUAUCCUGUUUCGCUCCAAGCUUUGGAGGCGCACGCGCAAGCGCGUGCGAACGAGCACGAGACCUCCCGAGAACGUGGAAGCGAGGCGCGGAGUGGGAAGGAGGAGGAAAGGGGGAGCCCAAAAUGGGAGAAGAUAGGGGCGGGGGUUGCCGUUGCCAUGGUAGUUACGUCAGGCAGCGUCGGGGAGCGAACCCGAGACACACACACACACAUACACACACAUACACACACGGAUACGCACACGCACACACGAGAGGAAAAGGUCAAAGUAAAGGCGAGGAGAAGACAGAAGGAAGCAGUCGCCGUUGCUGCCGGCGCGCGCGCCAUGACGGACGCUACCUUAUCCACUUCCUUCUCCCGGACACCGCCGACCCCCCCCACUCCCGAGUUCCACCCCCCCCUCGGAAGCGCUCCCCCGACUCGGCGCGAGCGUGUCCACGCCCCCCUCCUUCACCACUCCCCCCUCCCGCGGGAGCGUUACUUCGGGGACGCGCGCGCGAGUGCGCGCAGGAAGAGGGGCGGGGGAGUGAAAAGGGGUUCCUGGGAGGGGGUCCGGGCAGCAGCUGGGACUACUGUUUCCCUGUACUCGAGACUCAUUACAACCCCCUACCCCGAAGAGACCAGAGGGGUCUGACCAGGAUUCAUCAGCAUAGAGAAAAAGUUGACUGCUAUUUCUCCCAGCUGGAACUUCUGACCACUAAGAAGCACAGGGUGAACUUUCUGUGUAACUUCACGGAAGGAGGAUUCUUCCUGAAUAGUGCCUGGAGAAAAGGCUUUGUGGACCCUCUCCAGAAUAAGCUCUUCUUUCUAUGGCAGGGCUACCUGUAUGGAAAGUGGAAGUUGAAAGAAGAGUAG
This 912-nucleotide long non-coding RNA is filed under the name Monodelphis domestica (gray short-tailed opossum). RNAcentral's name for it is "lncRNA (ENSMODG00000046368.1)". Lineage: Eukaryota; Metazoa; Chordata; Mammalia; Didelphimorphia; Didelphidae. The record is from RNAcentral.